RNAcentral lists this ribosomal RNA (467 nucleotides) under uncultured bacterium. RNAcentral describes it as "partial 16S ribosomal RNA". It matches the Rfam family "Bacterial small subunit ribosomal RNA", at positions 28 to 506 of the family's 1533-position model. The record is from RNAcentral.
GACGAACGCUGGCGGCGUGCUUAACACAUGCAAGUCGAACGGAAAGGCCCUGCUUUUGUGGGGUGCUCGAGUGGCGAACGGGUGAGUAACACGUGAGUAACCUGCCCUUGACUUUGGGAUAACUUCAGGAAACUGGGGCUAAUACCGGAUAGGAGCUCCUGCUGCAUGGUGGGGGUUGGAAAGUUUCGGCGGUUGGGGAUGGACUCGCGGCUUAUCAGCUUGUUGGUGGGGUAGUGGCUUACCAAGGCUUUGACGGGUAGCCGGCCUGAGAGGGUGACCGGCCACAUUGGGACUGAGAUACGGCCCAGACUCCUACGGGAGGCAGCAGUGGGGAAUAUUGCACAAUGGGCGGAAGCCUGAUGCAGCAACGCCGCGUGCGGGAUGACGGCCUUCGGGUUGUAAACCGCUUUCGCCUGUGACGAAGCGUGAGUGACGGUAAUGGGUAAAGAAGCACCGGCUAACUCCGU